UUUUCCUACCUUGCAUUUGUGCUGCUUUUAUCAAUUAUAGCGGGUUUUCCCAUCCAUUUUCGUAAAAAAAUCUCUCCUUUCUCCACAGACGCUACCUUCCGCUGCUGUUGGAGUUGUUUGACAAGCGGACAGCAUCUUCAAAGCUGGCAAGUGUUUUCUGGAGUCGCUCCAAGCGUCUCUGGUUACAUCCCGUUAUUCAUCGUCAAAACACAGCCAAACCUCAAAACACUGCAACUACUUGAUAUAACAAGCAGUAAUUUCAGCACGUGUCACCUUCAAAGUAAUCAUCAUUAAGGACCGCAUGUUUUGGAUAUCCUACGAUAUCCACCUUCCCUCUGUUCAGUUUUAUCGCUAUUACCAUACUUACUUUAGUACAAAAUCGGUUUCCUUCAGCAGUUUCCUAAACUGCUUCUUGGGAGUCACAUUUUAUUUAUACUCCUUUCGUUAAUUCAGGUUCGAUUGCAAGAAAACGGCUUGCUAAGGGUCACAUCCGUCAAACUUUUCUAAAGUGGCACGAUAAUGCAACCCUGCGCCUAAUCUAGGCCAUUGAAAAAAAGCUGAAUUGAAAGAAAUUUUAUAUUUUUUUAUUCACAGCAAUUAAGUUUAUCCCCAUUUACUUAAGAUACAUAAAUAUCAGGAAAAUAAUACAUUUCACAAGUUUUGUAGUUUGUAAUACCCUAAUGAUGAUAAAUACAUCGGACAUGGCUUGUGGAUCUUGUUGCUUCAACGGUAUUUUGAAGAAAUAUAACUAUUGUAUAUCGGGUGAUAUGCCACACACUUUUUGCACUGGGAAUUCUUAGGAGUCGGCCUUUUUGGUACGACGUCCGUUUGAGCCUGGUAAUGACCCCGCUCUGUUUUAUAGAGUAACGUACCUUCCUAUCUACAAAGUACAGUGUUUUAUUAUUAUUGAUUGUAUUAAUAGUAUUAGAUAGUAUUGAUAGAAGUUUUUUUUAUAUUAAAGAUAUUUGAUAAAUCAA
Nematostella vectensis (starlet sea anemone) is the source of this 977-nucleotide long non-coding RNA. RefSeq lists it as uncharacterized. The transcript is spliced from 2 exons. The record is from RefSeq and is a predicted model, not a curated record. NCBI's taxonomy places the organism in Eukaryota, Metazoa, Cnidaria, Anthozoa, Actiniaria, Edwardsiidae.